GAAGAAUUCACAUUUGUGAAAGAGCUCAAUCUUGACGUACAAAAUGUCAUUGCCCCUCCUAAACCAAAAUCUUCACUGGUUCGGGAGAAAGCAUCUUCUUUGAAUGACCAUGAUACUGGAAAAUCAUCUGCUGAUGCUGGCACUGAUGCAAAGUCAGAGAAGUUGCCAAGCGCUGGUAAAACCAGAGUGAUGAGUGAUGUGGAGACUACCCAUACAGCA
RNAcentral lists this unclassified non-coding RNA (219 nucleotides) under Hevea brasiliensis (rubber tree). The record is from RNAcentral. Lineage: Eukaryota; Viridiplantae; Streptophyta; Magnoliopsida; Malpighiales; Euphorbiaceae.